This 460-nucleotide ribosomal RNA is filed under the name uncultured bacterium. RNAcentral describes it as "partial 16S ribosomal RNA". It matches the Rfam family "Bacterial small subunit ribosomal RNA", at positions 338 to 795 of the family's 1533-position model. The record is from RNAcentral.
CCUACGAGUGGCUGCAGUGAGGAAUAUUGGUCAAUGGGCGCGAGCCUGAACCAGCCAAGUAGCGUGAAGGAUGACUGCCCUCCGGGUUGUAAACUUCUUUUAUAAAGGAAUAAAGUGAGGCACGUGUGCCUUUUUGUAUGUACUUUAUGAAUAAGGAUCGGCUAACUCCGUGCCAGCAGCCGCGGUAAUACGGAGGAUCCGAGCGUUAUCCGGAUUUAUUGGGUUUAAAGGGAGCGUAGAUGGGUUGUUAAGUCAGUUGUGAAAGUUUGCGGCUCAACCGUAAAAUUGCAAUUGAUACUGGCAGUCUUGAGUACAGUUGAGGUAGGCGGAAUUCGUGGUGUAGCGGUGAAAUGCUGAGAUAUCACGAAGAACUCCGAUUGCGAAGGCAGCUUACUAAACUGCCACUGACAUUGAUGCUCGAAAGUGUGGGUAUCAAACAGGAUUAGAUACCCCAGUAGUC